CCUACGGGAGACAGCAGUGGGGAAUAUUGCGCAAUGGGCGAAAGCCUGACGCAGCGACGCCGCGUGGGUGAUGAAGGCCUUCGGGUCGUAAAGCCCUGUCGGGAGGGAAGAAACCUCGGCGGCCGAAUAAGCCGCCGACUUGACGGUACCUCUAAAGGAAGCACCGGCUAACUCCGUGCCAGCAGCCGCGGUAAUACGGAGGGUGCAAGCGUUGUUCGGAAUCACUGGGCGUAAAGCGCGUGUAGGCGGCCACUUAAGUCCGGGGUGAAAGCCCGGGGCUCAGCUCCGGAAGGGCAUCGGAAACUGGGUGGCUAGAGGGCCGGAGAGGAGGGUGAAAUUCCUGGUGUAGCGGUGAAAUGCGUAGAUAUCAGGAGGAACACCGGUGGCGAGGGUGGCCCCCUGGACGGUGACUGACGCUGA
RNAcentral lists this ribosomal RNA (420 nucleotides) under uncultured Syntrophobacteraceae bacterium. RNAcentral describes it as "partial 16S ribosomal RNA". It matches the Rfam family "Bacterial small subunit ribosomal RNA", at positions 338 to 749 of the family's 1533-position model. The record is from RNAcentral. Lineage: Bacteria; Pseudomonadati; Thermodesulfobacteriota; Syntrophobacteria; Syntrophobacterales; Syntrophobacteraceae.